Molecule: long non-coding RNA, 595 nt
Organism: Cydia fagiglandana
Lineage: Eukaryota; Metazoa; Arthropoda; Insecta; Lepidoptera; Tortricidae
Exons: 5
Source: RefSeq, a predicted model, not a curated record
UGAAAAGAAACUGAAAUUACGCUUCGGAGACUCCUUUGCUAUUUUUGAUGAAUCCAAACAACUGUAAAACCAAAUAAAAAUGGUUGCCAGUAGCUGCCAGUGAAACUUCAAGUACAGCGGUGCAAAUUCCCAAUGUUUAUUACCUUCAUGGGCUCUUUCAAGUCUUUUAACAAUCUCCAAGUAAGUUUCCCGGAGAAUUGGCAUCGCCAUGAAGUGAUAAUUUACCUGCCUACAACCUACAUCUACAGACUGUCUCCAGUGACAUGACAGACGACCAUGGGUCCUACUACUACAGGUACUUUGAAGACUCCUGCUUGAUGGCGGUAUUUCAAGAAUUUUGCUGAAACAAUGGCUGCUCGACAGACAGAAAAAAUGAUCCCUGCGUUAUUCUUAUCUAUGUAUACAAGAUACACUAGCAGUUAGAAAAUGAAGAAUGUUCCUAAAAGUCCCUGACCAUGACUGAAUGUUGAAAGAAAGGCACCUUCUAGACAGCAGUAUCUCUAAGAACACUACCCUGAACCAAGACUGAAAACUGAAGAAAUGUAUUUAAGGCCUUAAUUAUUAAAUAAUGAAGUAAAUUUUUGUCUUUUUAGUU